CCGGCGCACGGGUGAGUAACGCGUAUACAAUUUGCCUUUUACUGAAGAAUAGCCCAGAGAAAUUUGGAUUAAUGCUUCAUAGUAUUAUUUGGUCACCUGGCCGAGUAAUUAAAGCUCCAGCGGUAAAAGAUGAGUAUGCGUCCUAUUAGCUAGAUGGUAAGGUAACGGCUUACCAUGGCGACGAUAGGUAGGGGUCCUGAGAGGGAGAUCCCCCACACUGGUACUGAGACACGGACCAG
RNAcentral lists this ribosomal RNA (239 nucleotides) under uncultured bacterium. RNAcentral describes it as "partial 16S ribosomal RNA". It matches the Rfam family "Bacterial small subunit ribosomal RNA", at positions 95 to 334 of the family's 1533-position model. The record is from RNAcentral.